AGAUGAAAGCAAUGGAAGUCUGUCCAUGGCCUACGCAAGCACCAACAUGACCACAAGAUGUCCCAAGAGGAUGAGCUCUGCUGUGUUCACCUGGAAGUUCAGAAGCUCACAGAGAUAACCCUAUGUGGUGGAAGCCUCUGAGCAUUAGAGGGGUGUGUAGGAAAAAAGUUACAAAGUACCGAUGGCCUAGCUGUCCUGCAGCUUUCUUCAUGAGGAAGAAUUGUUAAAACCAGCCUGAGACCAGUGGCAAUCUAUGCAAGACUACUCCAUAAGAAACAAAAAACUGUUAAGAAGAUGGACGAUUAAGCCUCCAUAGAGUAACACAAGGUGCUUUUAACUGUACUAGGGCAGUGC
This is a long non-coding RNA of Egretta garzetta (little egret), 354 nucleotides long. RefSeq lists it as uncharacterized. The transcript has 3 exons. Lineage: Eukaryota; Metazoa; Chordata; Aves; Pelecaniformes; Ardeidae. The record is from RefSeq and is a predicted model, not a curated record.